UACGUAGGGGGCGAGCGUUGUCCGGAAUUACUGGGCGUAAAGGGUGCGUAGGUGGCCUUUUAAGUUGGAUGUGAAAUACCCGGGCUUAACUUGGGGGGUGCAUCUAAUACUGGAGGGCUAGAGUGCAGGAGAGGGAAGCGGAAUUCCUAGUGUAGCGGUGAAAUGCGUAGAUAUUAGGAGGAACACCAGUGGCGAAGGCGGCUUUCUGGACUGUAACUGACACUGAGGCACGAAAGCGUGGGGAGCAAACAGGAUUAGAUACCCUGGUAGUCCACGCUGUAAACGAUGAAUACUAGGUGUAGGGGGUAUCAACUCCCCCUGUGCCGGAGCUAACGCAAUAAGUAUUCCGCCUGGGGAGUACGGCCGCAAGGUUG
Molecule: ribosomal RNA, 374 nt
Filed under: uncultured prokaryote
Description: bacterial SSU rRNA
Rfam family: Bacterial small subunit ribosomal RNA
Source: RNAcentral